GAUGAAACGCUAGCGACAGGCUUAACACAUGCAAGUCGAGGGGCAGCGGGGAGUAGCAAUACUUCGCCGGCGACCGGCGCACGGGUGAGUAAACACGUGUGCAACCAAACCCGUACCGGGAGAUAACCCGCGGAAACGGUGGACUAAACAUCCCAUGAUACUCGAGAGCCGCAUGGCUCUAGAUUUAAAAAUUCCGGUGGUACGGGACGGGCACGCGCGACAUUAGGUGGUUGGCGGGGUAAGGGCCCACCAAAGCCGACGAUGUCUAGGGGUUCUGAGAGGAAGGUCCCCCACACUGGAACUGAGACACGGUCCAGACUCCUACGGGAGGCAGCAGUGAGGAAUAUUGGUCAAAUGGGCGAGAGCCUGAACCAGCCAAAGUCGCGUGAGGGACGAAAUGGUCUAAUGGCCUGUAAAAACCUC
Molecule: ribosomal RNA, 423 nt
Filed under: uncultured bacterium
Lineage: Bacteria
Description: bacterial SSU rRNA
Rfam family: Bacterial small subunit ribosomal RNA
Source: RNAcentral